GUGGGGAAUCUUCCGCAAUGGACGAAAGUCUGACGGAGCAACGCCGCGUGAGUGAAGAAGGUUUUCGGAUCGUAAAGCUCUUUCGUUAGGGACGAACGUGCUCUUUGUGAAUAAUGAGGAGUAAUGACGGUACCUAAAUAAGAAGCCACGGCUAACUACGUGCCAGCAGCCGCGGUAAUACGUAGGUGGCAAGCGUUGUCCGGAAUUAUUGGGCGUAAAGCGCGCGCAGGCGGGAUAUCAAGUCUGUCUUAAAAGUGCGAGGCUCAAGCUAGGGAGGGGACAGAAACUGGUAUUCUUGAGUGUCGGAGAGGAAAGUGGAAUUCCAAGUGUAGCGGUGAAAUGCGUAGAGAUUUGGAAGAACACCAGUGGCGAAGGCGACUUUCUGGACGAUGUCUGACGCUGAGGCGCGAAAGCUAGGGGAGCGAACGGGAUUAGAUACCCUGGUAGUCC
Molecule: ribosomal RNA, 450 nt
Filed under: uncultured bacterium
Lineage: Bacteria
Description: partial 16S ribosomal RNA
Rfam family: Bacterial small subunit ribosomal RNA
Source: RNAcentral